Molecule: long non-coding RNA, 3868 nt
Filed under: Nicotiana tabacum (common tobacco)
Lineage: Eukaryota; Viridiplantae; Streptophyta; Magnoliopsida; Solanales; Solanaceae
Description: long non-coding RNA (NTAB_LNC011057)
Source: RNAcentral
CGUCAAAUCGUAUUUCGAAUUGAUAUUGAGGAAAAAUAUUUUAACAACUAAAUUUCGUUCCUGAAAAUAAUAAUCAAGACAAAAAAUAUAGCGACAAACAUUAUAUUCGAUUUCAAGUGAUAGGGUUACAAUCUCUAAAAACAAAUCCAAAAAAACGUAGUCCUCAGAUUCUUCUCCUCACAAAUGAUUGUUCAAGAGCUUGAGAGCUUGAUCUUGAACUUGACAGAUUUCAGAUUUGUGGUGCAUCGUGAACAUUUUGAAGAUCGUCACGAACCGGGAUUUAGUGUUGGUUAUCAUGAGCAGAAGAUUUGAAGCCGAUCGCCUAUGAUUUCAGUUCGCCUUUGGGAUUUGACCUUGAUGUUGUUUUCCAGAGCUUCUUUAGCAUUUCCUCUGCUUACUUGAUUGUUCCUUCUUUUCUUACCCUGUGACCCCCUUUAUAUAGGUGUGGGUAGAGUAGCUUUCAAGAAAACCCUAGUGUGUCAUUGGGCUGGAGGCCUAUGGGCCGAUCCUUUUGAUGGAAGAAUGGACUAGCCCAAUUUUAUUGGACUUUUAUUUAAUUCAAUUAAAUUAGAUUUAAAUAAUUGACUUAAUCAUACUAGCCCAUAAUAUUUGUUUGGUCUAGUAUAUAUCCAAUCAUGGUAAAAUCCAAAUUUUGUAUGGAUUUAAAUUUAAUAAAAAAUUUAAUUGUCUACAAACGUUUCUUGAUCACUUCGACUUUGAAAAAAUAUUAUUUUAUUUCCUGAUCUCUUAGUAAAUAUUUGAAAUUUAUGAACUUUUUUAGAUUUUAUUUUCAUUUAAGUACCUACCGAGUUCCUGGUCUGUGCCAUGCGAAAAUAUGCAAGGUUGUUGUGCUCGGCUCCAAUUUGGACCUAUUUGGUUUAACAUUAGAAAUUAAUAAAAUUAAUCAGUUCCGUUUAAUUAAUGUAAUACUCGUAAUUGCUGGCUUACGGAGAAAAAAGUCUCGUUGGCCUAAUAAUAUGAUCAGAUUAGGUACAUUUAAUUAAAUGUUCUAAUGGACCACUAGUAGCAGGCCAUGAAAUUAGCUUCAACUCACAUCUACUUUGCUUUCAAAUUUCAAACACUUUAAAUGAUUAAAUCGCUACAAAUAUAAUCUGAUUAUAAAAUUUGAAAUUGAUUACACAUAGAGCUAACGAUAUAGAUACUUACCAAAUUUUUGGUUAACUUCGAUAAGCCAAACUCUUCAAAUAAGUGAUGUCAUAACUAUGAACCAAUUUCAAGGUUUAAAGUGAAUGCAAGUUUAUUAAUUAAUUAAUUAUCUAGAUGAAAAGUUUGGAUUCUAUGUGAUUAAAACCUAGCUAGGAUAUUUAAUUUCCCUUAUUGCCUUUGUGACUAAAUAACACUUAUCCUAUUAAAUCUCAUUUGGUAGUUAAUCAUGGUUCUAUAUGGGUCAAAAUCUGACCAUAUGUGGAUUAGCGCUAAAAGGAAUGUUAAGGGGUCGACUAAGCCAUGAUCGUAUCUACAAGGUGUAAUAACGACGAGUACCCGGCCAAUGCCGAGAUCGAGCUAUUAGAAAGCUUGUACAGCGAAAUAUAUGUCGUAAUACUUAAAGGGAGCGAUAUAAAGUACAGUCAAGAGAUAGGUUGUUCUGGGUAANNNNNNNNNNNNNNNNNNNNNNNNNCCUUAUCGCCGAAGUUCCAAAAGCCCGUCACAUUGCAUGAAUUCUUUCUUGGAAAAAUCCUUCAUGGGAGGAAAUGCUCUCGGCACACGUUAAGCCAAGGUAGGCUAACUUGCACCGUCAAUGGCUAGAAGGCGUAAACAACCAGUAACAGCGACCGUUACUGUCACACCUCCUUUUUCCUACACCCCCGGAAGAGAGUAUAUAAGGGAGUUUUUCCAAUUUAAGUGACAAUCGAAACAUGACUUAUUUUUAUUAAAAAUCAGAGUCGCCACUUGGGAUAAUUUUAUGGUGUUCCAAGUCACCAGUUCAAAUCCCAAAUCGAGGAAAAGAUUGACUCUGUAUUAUAGUCCGCGAACCAGAAAUCCAGCUAAAGAAUUCUGUUAAGCCGAGAGAAGGUGUUAGGCAUUCCCGGAUUCUGUGGUUCUAGCACGGUCGCUCACCUGUUACAAUUGGCCUAAUUAUUUGAUUUUUACACGUUUUAAACCUAUUGUGUAUUUUUUUUUAACUUUUUAGCCGCUUUUAAUAUUUUGGAAAAAUUCAAGGUUAUUUAAAACACAUCGUAAGCCACGCUACAUGAAAUGCACCCGUGGUUCACGACACGUUCUAUUUAACCUUGUUGGAAAUUAAAGUUGGGUCACAUGAAAUGCGCACCCGGAUUUGAAGAUUUACGUAUCACGAUCAUGCCACUUCAGGCCCAUCGUACAAGAGAGCCUUAUCCAAGAGCUCCACUUUCCAUGGGAAAAAGGUCUUUUGUGCUUUCAAAUUCAUGAAGCUUAUGCAUCCCAUACUUUGAGCCAGCACUAUAACAAGACUGUUAGUAUCCAAUUGCUUCGACAGGAUAGAAAUUAGAGGGAAGUGAAAGACGAGGCAGAACUACAGCAAUACCGUCCUUUGUGACCAUAUACAAAAAACCAUGAAAACUACAACCUAUAACUUCGUCAACUAUAACAUCCCAAACUUGAAUGUUAUAGCAGCUGUCAUCAUUUACAGUCAAGUUUACAUGUAAACUAGAAUGAACAAGUUGACACUUGACAUUUCCCUCAGUAUAUUUCUGUUCACUAGCCGAGUGAGCCCAAAAGGAGAAAAACAAACAACAACAUCUUCUUUGGAUCCAUCUAUACAAUGAAAACUUUUCUGCUAUGGCAUGAAUGUGAUCUACUACAGAAAAUCCUAUUCUUAUUUACAUCGGUAGCAUCAGAUAGGCUACUCCCAUAUGAGCCAUAUUUCCUUAACAUUUCAAAUAUGCUUAGACUAAUUUCUAUAAUUCCAGUUUAAACAAAACAACUCAAACAAUGUAUAAUACCAAACAAGUAUAAUAGUAAAAGUUAUAAAUAAAUUAAAAUGGCCAUGAGCUAAUCUUUAUAAUACCAGAAAAUGAUAAAUUCUCAUUUAGCAUGGAGUAAAUUAAACUAGACAAAUAUUAUUUGCACACCAAUAAGAAAUAAGAUCUGAAAUAAAAAUGAACAAAGUUGGAAUAUAACCUCAAGCAAAACGACUCGUCUUCCAAUUUAAGAAGGAAUUUCAAGUAUGCAUAUGUGCACAAGCCAUGGUUGACCAAGAGCAUUGAACAAAAUCUGAAACAUGGACCGUGAACCGGAAUAAACAACUCGCAGGCGAUCUCGACUUAACCGGAAAGCCUCACUAGCGGCCUCGAGAAGAGCCUCGUCUCAGUAGGGUCAGAGCUGCUGCAUUUUUGCAGCUUUUGGGGUCGUUUUUUGGCUACUUCGAUGGCUGAAAAUGGUUAAGAAAGCAGUGCUUCAAAGCUGGUUUUUACAGCUGAAAAAAUGAUGUUACAAAGGUGACGUUUCAGUUAUGUAAAAGGUGGUUUUGGGGUGAUUCAAAGCUGAAGUUUAGGGGUGUUUUUAAGCAUUUUAAUGGAGGUUUCUCAAUGGAUUUUUGGAGGAGAAGAACUAGCUUUAAUAGGUUUUAUGACUGUGUUUUUCAUGGUGUUAACACAGUAAGAGUGAAACCAAGUAAAGAAGAAAGGAAAAAGAGAUCUAAUGUUGCUGCCCCUUUUCUUUGUUUUUGCUCGUUUUCUAUCCUUUUCCAGAUCUAUUUUUUCCUGUUUUCUUGUGCUCUGCUUUUUUUUCUGUGUGUGAGUGUGUUGUCUUUUUAAAAGAGAUGAGAGAGAGGGAAAAUGAAAGUGAGAUAGGGGUGUGAGCUGUAGGGAAUAAUUCUGUUGCCUUGGAAAGGGACGUAUCUGUAGUGUGCAAGAAAUAAGAAUAGAAA